Molecule: ribosomal RNA, 543 nt
Filed under: Metschnikowia aff. chrysoperlae P40A002
Lineage: Eukaryota; Fungi; Ascomycota; Pichiomycetes; Serinales; Metschnikowiaceae
Description: LSU rRNA
Rfam family: Eukaryotic large subunit ribosomal RNA
Source: RNAcentral
CCUCACCCUCGUAAGACUACCCGCUGAACUUAAGCAUAUCAAUAAGCGGAGGAAAAGAAACCAACAGGGAUUGCCUCAGUAACGGCGAGUGAAGCGGCAAAAGCUCAAAUUUGAAAUCCCCCGGGAAUUGUAAUUUGAAGAGAUUUGGGUCCGGCCGGCRGGGGUUAAGUCCACUGGAAAGUGGCGCCACAGAGGGUGACAGCCCCGUGAACYCCUUYAACGCCCUCAUCCCAGAUCUCCAAGAGUCGAGUUGUUUGGGAAUGCAGCUCUAAGUGGGUGGUAAAUUCCAUCUAAAGCUAAAUACCGGCGAGAGACCGAUAGCGAACAAGUACAGUGAUGGAAAGAUGAAAAGCACUUUGAAAAGAGAGUGAAAAAGUACGUGAAAUUGUUGAAAGGGAAGGGCUUGCAAGCAGACACUUAACUGGGCCAGCAUCGGGGCGGCGGGGARCAAAACCACYGGGGAAUGUACCUUUCGAGGAUUAUAACCCCGGUCCUUACUCCCUCACCAUCCCGAGGCCUGCAAUCUAAGGAUGCUGGCGUAAU